AGCUUUGCACAGUGGCAGUACUGUAGCCAAUGAGGUUUAUCCGAGGCACAAGUACUGCUAAUUAAAAGU
This 69-nucleotide small nuclear RNA is filed under the name Fukomys damarensis (Damara mole-rat). RNAcentral describes it as "U4 spliceosomal RNA". It matches the Rfam family "U4 spliceosomal RNA", at positions 1 to 69 of the family's 138-position model. From Rfam's summary of the family: U4 small nuclear RNA (U4 snRNA) is a component of the major U2-dependent spliceosome. Lineage: Eukaryota; Metazoa; Chordata; Mammalia; Rodentia; Bathyergidae. The record is from Rfam by way of RNAcentral.